CUCCUCCCUCCUGGGACGAAACCAGGCAAGGCGAGGCUUCAACGCAUGACCUGGAGGCGGCGGCGCGAGGCCAUAGCGACGUCGACGGCUACGCUCUCCGCUGCCUUCUCGCCGGUGGAUCGCUCUCCUAUUCCUUGCCCUAUUCUCUCCCCUAUGUUAUGGUUCUUGCUGGCGCUGCGGUGUGUGUGUGUGUGCGGUUCUUGAGGAACGCCAGGAGGUGGCCUAGGAGUGAGUGUGCGGUGAGGCCAUGGGUGGUGGGCUUAUUGGUCGUCAGGUUGUAGGAGAGGUCCCCCCAUGGGAGAGUGCGCUGGCUUGCAGCUCGGAGGAGGAACCAUUGUCGUUGCCUCGAUCUGGUUGGGUAUUCUUGGCUUUGGUUCUCAUGGUCAAUCUACUCUCGAUUUAGUUCUUGCUCUAGGGUCCGGUAUCCAUGGCAUCUGCCGCCGCCACCACCAUCUUGCACUAGGACAUAUAGUCGUGGCCAAAAGAGGAGAUUCUGGUCAUUUGUCCCAUAUGGGUAACCUGGUUCGAUGAUUCGACGAGGACGUCGAAUCCUAAAGGAUGGGUGAUUGUAACAGAACGGCCAUGGGCCAGAUAGGCGGGGGGUGGUUACUGUAGCAACACGUUACUGUAGGUCGUGGCACAGUACUCCUUUAGUCCCAAACUGGAAACAUAGAGGGAAGUGAACCAACUUAAAUAGCCGGUCGCGAGAAGCUGUUAACUCUGGAUCGAUCUUUUUGCGCGAAGCGAGGACGAAAGCGCAAGAGAGUUACUUAGCAGGUGUGGUCUACUCAACGUGCAGAGUAGAUCUUAGCCGUUAUCCCGGGCCGGGUCGUUACAGUGGUAGCAGAGCCGACUCUCGCGGUUUCACGGGUAGGUGUGGGUCACGGGCCCAACAUUUACACGGGCGCGUGGAGGGUCAGUGCGCGGACAUCUGGGAUGCGCCAUUGGCACUGAACGCACGGACGUGUACAUGUGUCGAUUGGCACUAUGACAUACAGUCGUGGCCAAAAGAGGAGAUCCUGGUCCUUUGUCCCAUAUGGGUAAGCUGGUUCGAUGAUUCGACGAGGACGUCGAAUCCUAAAGGAUGGGUGAUUGUAACAGAACGGGCCAUGGGCCAGAUGGGCCGGGCGGUUACUGUAGCAACACGUUACUGUAUCGUCACGGCACAGUACUCCUUUAGUCCCAAACUGGAAACAGAGAGGGAAGUGAAUCAACUUAAAUAGCCGGUCGCGAGAGCUGUUAACUCUAGAUCGAUCUUUUUGUGCGAAGCGAGAACGAAAGCGCAAUAGAGUUAAUUAGCAGGUGUGGUCUACUCAACGUGAGAGUAGAUCUUAGCCGUUAUCUCGGGUCGGGUCAUUACAGUUAUGUACGAAGGUUAGUAGUACAUUUUGAUUCAAAUGUUCCAAUUUCGAUAAUCAUAACAACAAUUCUAUUCACUAUUGAGGAAUAUGCAUUUUACAAAUAUUGUCAUGGAACAAUUCGCAAGGCACCUCAAGUUUCUUUAAUUCGCAAGGUGUAAAAUAUGCUGUUCUAAACACCUACUUAAGUUAAUCUGCAAUGUGCUUAAGAUGUAUAUUCAAGCACAACUUAUUUGGUUUUUUUUGCAAAUUUAUUUAGUUUGAUCGACUCAGAAACCCCUGAAAAUAUACUUGUUCUUGUUAAGUUAAAUGGAUGCAUCUUAAGUGGCUUGGUCGAUGCAUCUUUAUAUUCAGCAUCGUGGAUUAAGUCAAACAGUGGCUUUUUCAACCUUCAGACCUGAACAAUUCCCAACAAUCCUUAUUGGUUUUUAAGAAUAAGAAUCUUUGUAGAUGAACUGUACCCAUUUCAGUAACAGUAUUACAUAUGUUCUUGGUUGUGUAUGUGUUACACUUGAAUGAGCAUAUUUCAGAUAUAGUAUAUCACUCUUUUAUAAUCCACGGCAGACAUGGAUAUGAUAUAAUCUAUGGCAGGCUUGUGAUUUUACUCUGUUAUUGAUAAGAUGCUAUCUCCUAUAUGCUUGUGAGCCACUAGUUAGUCAAAUCUCGAGUAGUCAAUCCUUGUACAAGAUUUUUUCACGGCAUUAUGCUUGUAUACUUGUACAAGAUUUCAAGUAAAGUUUCUAAAAUUUACUGGCUGCCUAAAUUAUUUGUGCUUUUAUAAUUGUAUACUUGUAUACCAUCUCAUUUCCUAAUUUCUAGUUACUUUGUGCUUUUAUUUAGAUUGUACCAACAGUUCCUAGAAUUGGUGAAGACGAGCCACCUCCAUCCUGGGACCCGAUUUUGACUCCAAAAGGAGGCUCCAAGGUCAAUACUCAAGCUGCUAGAAAGGCAUAGGACAAAACCAUGGUCUGAGUAUAAGUGGAUUUAUCAUGUUAUUUUAUCCCGCAUCAUCAUAAGUUACCUACCUAUUGGAUUUUGAGAAUGAGCCUUGUCAGUUUUGUUUAUUGGUUGCUUGGACAAUCUUUCAAACAUGACUCAAUAGGUCUCUUAUGUAAAGACUCGCACCUGGGUAUUUAUUUUCAGUUUAUUUGAGAGUAUACGGUGAAGAUUCAAAUAUGUUUGCAUGUUUAUGUAAUGAACAAGCAUGUGAAAUUCAGGCUAGUUCAAAAGUCAA
Molecule: long non-coding RNA, 2592 nt
Organism: Panicum virgatum (switchgrass)
Lineage: Eukaryota; Viridiplantae; Streptophyta; Magnoliopsida; Poales; Poaceae
Exons: 2
Source: RefSeq, a predicted model, not a curated record